Molecule: unclassified non-coding RNA, 1297 nt
Filed under: Hevea brasiliensis (rubber tree)
Lineage: Eukaryota; Viridiplantae; Streptophyta; Magnoliopsida; Malpighiales; Euphorbiaceae
Source: RNAcentral
GUUGGAUCCAAAUAUGAUAUGCUUUUGGAGCUUUCAAGAAGAGAAAAGAUGGCAGGAAUAAAACCUGAUGAAGAUCUUGACAUAUUCAUCAAAGCGUUAGCUUUGGAGGGGAAUGAUGCUGGACUUGUUGUUGAGUACAUACUAAAGAUUCUAGGUUUAGACAAUUGUGCGGACACCUUGGUCGGGGAUGAAAUGCUCAAGGGGAUCUCUGGAGGCCAGAAAAAACGGCUCACCACUGGUGAGUUGUUGGUGGGUCCAUCAAGAGUGCUCUUCAUGGAUGAAAUCUCAACAGGGCUUGAUAGUUCCACAACAUACAAAAUUAUUAAAUAUCUUAGACAUUCAACGCAUGCACUCGAUGGAACUACUGUUAUUUCUCUUCUUCAACCUGCUCCAGAGACGUAUGAUCUAUUCGAUGACAUUAUUCUUUUGUCUGAAGGCCAGAUUGUGUAUCAAGGACCUCGUGAAGAUGUCCUUAACUUUUUUGAAUAUAUGGGAUUUCAUUGUCCCGAGAGGAAGAAUGUCGCAGACUUCCUUCAGGAAGUUGUCUCUAUGAAGGACCAAGAACAGUACUGGGCUGUUUCUCAUCGCCCGUAUCAUUACAUACCAGUGACCAAGUUUGCUGAAGCUUUUCGAUCAUACCGCACUGGGAAGAAUUUAUCUGAAGAGCUAACUAUUCCUUUCGAUAAACGCUACAAUCAUCCUGCAGCCUUGUCAACUUCUAAAUAUGGAGCGAAAAAAACGCAACUUCUUAAAACUGGCUUUGACUGGCAACUUCUGCUCAUGAAAAGGAAUUCGUUUAUUUAUAUUUUCAAAUUUUUUCAGCUCUUCUUGGUUUCUUUGAUCACCAUGAGUGUUUUCUUCCGCACAACUCUGCAUCACAAUACAAUUGAUGAUGGAGGCCUAUAUCUUGGGCAACUGUAUUUUUCCAUGGUUAUUAUUCUGUUCAAUGGUUUCACGGAGGUCUCCAUGCUUAUUGUCAAGCUUCCGGUCAUUUACAAGCAUAGAGACUUGCAUUUCUAUCCAUGCUGGGUCUAUACACUUCCUUCUUGGGUAUUGAGCGUUCCAACUUCCCUGGUUGAAUCUGGUUUAUGGGUAGCAGUGACAUAUUAUGUUGUUGGAUUCGAUCCAAGUGUUGCACGAUUCUUUAAACAAUUUUUGCUUUUCUUUUUUCUGCAUCAAAUGUCUCUUGCACUUUUUCGUCUAAUGGGAGCCUUGGGUCGCAAUAUGAUUGUUGCAAACACUUUUGGAUCUUUUGCUAUGUUGAUUGUCAUGGCUCUUGGGGGAUAUAUUAUUUCAA